GACGAACGCUGGCGGCGUGCUUAACACAUGCAAGUCGAACGGAAAGGCCCUGCAUUUGUGGGGUGCUCGAGUGGCGAACGGGUGAGUAACACGUGAGUAACCUGCCCUUGUCUUUGGGAUAAAUUCAGGAAACUGGGGCUAAUACCGGAUAGGAGAUCCUGCUGCAUGGUGGGGGUUGGAAAGUUUCGGCGGUUGGGGAUGGACUCGCGGCUUAUCAGCUUGUUGGUGGGGUAGUGGCUUACCAAGGCAUUGACGGGUAGCCGGCCUGAGAGGGUGACCGGCCACAUUGGGACUGAGAUACGGCCCAGACUCCUACGGGAGGCAGCAGUGGGGAAUAUUGCACAAUGGGCGGAAGCCUGAUGCAGCAACGCCGCGUGCGGGAUGACGGCCUUCGGGUUGUAAACCGCUUUCGCCUGUGACGAAGCGUGAGUGACGGUAAUGGGUAAAGAAGCACCGGCUAACUACGUG
RNAcentral lists this ribosomal RNA (468 nucleotides) under uncultured bacterium. RNAcentral describes it as "partial 16S ribosomal RNA". It matches the Rfam family "Bacterial small subunit ribosomal RNA", at positions 28 to 507 of the family's 1533-position model. The record is from RNAcentral.